This 248-nucleotide ribosomal RNA is filed under the name uncultured Methanomicrobiales archaeon. Its description in RNAcentral is "partial 16S ribosomal RNA". It matches the Rfam family "Archaeal small subunit ribosomal RNA", at positions 333 to 582 of the family's 1478-position model. The record is from RNAcentral. Lineage: Archaea; Methanobacteriati; Methanobacteriota; Methanomicrobia; Methanomicrobiales.
CAGCAGGCGCGAAAACUUUACACUGCGCGAAAGCGCGAUAAGGGGACCUCGAGUGCGUGCGCAAUGCAUACGCUUUUCAGAUGCCUAAAAAGCAUCUGGAAUAAGGGCCGGGCAAGACCGGUGCCAGCCGCCGCGGUAACACCGGCGGCUCAAGUGGUGGCCGCUAUUAUUGGGCUUAAAGGGUCCGUAGCCGGACCAGUUAGUCCCUUGGGAAAUCUUACGGCUUAACCGUAAGGCUGCCAAUGGAU